GUAUGUACCACAUCUUCUUUAUCCAAUCCCCUAUCGCAGGACACUUUGGUUGUCUCUAUUAUUCAUUUAAAACUGCUAAUCUGAUAUAAUUUUUCCUGACAUAAGUGGCAUUUUUUCAUCUAGCAACAAAGUAUCUCCAAACUUCUUGUAGUUUGUGGGGCUGAAGUAUCUCAAAUGUGAACAUCUUUGACACUAGUAAAACAUAACUGAGAUUUCUACAGACCUUAAAACCACAGACAGUGGUUCUAAUGGAAUUGUGACUUCUGUAACAGAUUUCAAUAAAGUUGGACCAA
Myotis brandtii (Brandt's bat) is the source of this 293-nucleotide long non-coding RNA. RefSeq lists it as uncharacterized. Lineage: Eukaryota; Metazoa; Chordata; Mammalia; Chiroptera; Vespertilionidae. The transcript has 2 exons. The record is from RefSeq and is a predicted model, not a curated record.